Long non-coding RNA from Panicum virgatum (switchgrass), 698 nucleotides. RefSeq lists it as uncharacterized. NCBI's taxonomy places the organism in Eukaryota, Viridiplantae, Streptophyta, Magnoliopsida, Poales, Poaceae. The transcript is spliced from 4 exons. The record is from RefSeq and is a predicted model, not a curated record.
CGCGGCCUCGCGUGCGUGUGUCCAUGGGGGGCACCAACCGCCGAUGGAUCCACAGCUACCCGCGCUCCAUUGUCGGCUCUUCUCCCCUCUCCACAAGAACAACGAGAAGUCAGUGCAAGUGGUUGCGGCGAUGGUGUGCCCCAAGUGUUGGGAAAAGCUAGGGAAUGACGACUAGAACAAGGGCGCCAGGUACAUAAACGAAAGCAGCGGCGGCAAGAACAACAAGAUCGAACUCCUCCCCCAAGAAAACCAGGUAUAUUGGUUCCAAUUCGGGGAGAUGUUUUGCACGAGGGCCUGUGGUGAGUAGUACUAACUUUCUGAUCUAUAAGAUGCAGUUAUAUAUUGGUUCUGAGACACCAUCCUAAGAUGAAAAGGACUCCCUUCUUUCUGGAAAGAGAUGAUUAUGCGCUAGAACUUGCAAUGGGAGACGAGUGAGCAGUGCCUAAGAGGAUUGUGGUUUUAAGCUCUGUUUCCGCAGUUGGUAGCUUAUAGAGUCACAAGGACCUGCUUCGCAAGAGGGGUCGAGAAUUUUUCUUUUCUGCUCUGUUCACAGUUCUCCCAUGUUCCGUUGAGUCCUAGUAGUAGCUGGCUUGUGCAGAUGUGCUUCUUGUAAAGAUUUCACUUUUUGAAAUUUUAGAAGUUUACGUAAUACUCUAUUUGUUGAUUGGCUUCUCAGAAAAACCUUUAUCUAUGCUUAA